Molecule: long non-coding RNA, 1253 nt
Filed under: Mytilus galloprovincialis (Mediterranean mussel)
Lineage: Eukaryota; Metazoa; Mollusca; Bivalvia; Mytilida; Mytilidae
Source: RNAcentral
AACUUCAGCUGUCCCAUAACUGGGUCUAAUUCCUUCAGUUUUUAUAACCAUAUUAGUUAUUGUUGUUGCUCACUGGUUUCCACAUGAUACAUAUGGUUAAUAGAAACUUUACAGCAAUGGUUAUGUUUAUAUUGAGAUUGAAAAGACCAAAACAAUAGUUUUUACAGACAUCUUACAUGUAACAGAAAAAUCAACAUGUUCAUGUGUAUGACCUAUUGACAUGUAAAUUGCACCCCACUGAUAUAUACUAUAGUUUUAUAUAAACAUAAAUCAGUACCUCAAGUGUAGGAUCCUCCCCUUAUUAGAAACUUCCAUUUGAUUUUUAAAGGGUAAAGGAUAAAAAAAAUUAAAAAAGGCAGGACAGGAUCAUCAGAAGUUUUGAGGGAAAAAAGGCUGGAUGAGCAACUUUGUCCACAAAAUGGCAGGAUGACAAAUAAUGUUAACAAAAAGUCAGAAUAAAAUCAAUAAAAGAAUAAAACAGGACCCAAUAUUUAGAUAGAUGAAAAUAAAAAGGCAAGAAAGAGAUAAUCUCAGAUUACAACUAAAAGAAGUACAGGAGCCCCCCCCCCCCCUAAAAUUUCAAAUGGUAGCUAAAAGGGGGCUAUUUUGUAUUUCUAAAGUGUUAUUUAAUAAAAAAAAAAAAAAAGAACUAAUGUAAACUACCAGGCAAUUGGAAAAAAAAAAUAAACUGUCACAUAUAAUUUAGUUUUUAACUUGCGUGUUCCAAUAGGAAGUGUAACCCCAAGGGUGACUGGGGUAUAAAAAUAUGGUCACUUGGUCUUCUCCCGACCGGCAGUAAAACGCUUGCUGAAGUGGGGCGUCCGUUUGGCUGUGCGGGAUGUAUCAAGUUCGCAGUCACGUCCGUCAGAAGGGAACGUUAAAUCCGAUGCCUCGUGUAAAGAGAGUGCCACGCUCUUUGCACGUUAAGAACCCUUGCAACAACUCUUUGAGGAGUCCGUAGGUGGCCUGUUGCAAGGCAAAAUUUCUGUCUCUAUCCAAUAUACCCUCAUUUUCCAGUGGCAGUCCAAAUUUUCCCGACCAUCAUCCUAGAUGGCCUCUAUUACAACAACCUACCUAUUGUAUUUAUUGUGAACUUGUUCUCGUCCUGAAUAUGCAUGAAAUAUUUGCCACUGGACGUUAAGCAACCAACAAUCAAUCAACCAAUAGGAAGUGUGAGGCCAUAACACUUCUGAAUCUUCUCUACAUCAUUGAUGGUGAUAUUGCGGCUAGGCUUUGGCUUUUUAACACCAACA